Molecule: ribosomal RNA, 498 nt
Filed under: uncultured beta proteobacterium
Lineage: Bacteria; Pseudomonadati; Pseudomonadota; Betaproteobacteria
Description: bacterial SSU rRNA
Rfam family: Bacterial small subunit ribosomal RNA
Source: RNAcentral
ACUGGGUGUGCCCGAAAGGGAACGGGAACACAGGUGCUGCAUGGCUGUCGUCAGCUCGUGUCGUGAGAUGUUGGGUUAAGUCCCGCAACGAGCGCAACCCUUGUCAUUAGUUGCUACAUUCAGUUGGGCACUCUAAUGAGACUGCCGGUGACAAACCGGAGGAAGGUGGGGAUGACGUCAAGUCCUCAUGGCCCUUAUGGGUAGGGCUUCACACGUAAUACAAUGGCGCGUACAGAGGGUUGCCAAGCCGCGAGGUGGAGCCAAUCCCACAAAGCGCGUCGUAGUCCGGAUUGCAGUCUGCAACUCGACUGCAUGAAGUCGGAAUCGCUAGUAAUCGCGGAUCAGCAUGUCGCGGUGAAUACGUUCCCGGGUCUUGUACACACCGCCCGUCACACCAUGGGAGUGGGUUUCACCAGAAGCCGGUCGCCUAACCGCAAGGAGGGCGCCGACCACGGUGAGAUUCAUGACUGGGGUGAAGUCGUAACAAGGUAGCCGUAA